RNAcentral lists this long non-coding RNA (1452 nucleotides) under Monodelphis domestica (gray short-tailed opossum). RNAcentral describes it as "lncRNA (ENSMODG00000028544.2)". The record is from RNAcentral. Lineage: Eukaryota; Metazoa; Chordata; Mammalia; Didelphimorphia; Didelphidae.
AUUUACUGAAUUGCUAUAUGUUAAUCAUGAAAAGAUCACCAGGUAUUUCUUAAAAUUGAGAGGCUCUAGUCCUUUUUUUCAGUGAGAGUAAAGUCCACUCCAUAACAAAUUGAAAUGUACCUCUCUUUGUACAUUCUCCCUAUCUUAAAAAGCUCUAGUGGAGAGCACUGAUGAGAGCUUCACAGUUCCCAAAUUCCCUGUAGUAGCUUCCCCUUAAUUUUGCGGGAGGACUGGAUUAUUGCCACAAUCAUGAGUAAAAAAAGAAAGGUGACAGAAUUGAGAUCACCUCUCCAAAUAUCCCACACCUUUCUCCCUCCAGACACCUCCCACCUUCAUAAGGAAAUUCUAAUUUUUAUUUCCCAUGCUCCAUGUCUAUGGCUCAAAGGGCCAGCUGGGGUGAGGGCCUAAGCUAAUAUUCUUACAGUUCAGGUGAUAGGCCUCAUAAAUCAAGUUUCAAUGACAUCCCACAGUACUCCAACUUGGUUAAGAAAAGUAAUUUUGCUUUCCCCCCCCUUGGGAUGCAAGAAGCUAAGUUCCCACUGGUGUCAUUCCCAGCCAAAUCUUGCUGUGAAUCAUCUGCUGUUCAUUACUUGAGUCGUGUACACAUUCCCUUUUCUCAAUCCAAACAUCAGCAAUCCUGGGCAGGCAUUGCAUCUGACAGCUGCUGUUCUACAGAGCUCUGAUCUAGUUUCUCUCCCAUCCAAUGCCCUUUCCUCUCAACCCCGCUCCACCCACUGCUCUGGUUCCCGGUCUCUGUAAUGCCUGUGACAUUUACCAGGAUUCAUGUAGGGCACUCUGCCUCAGCAUCUCGAAGUGAUGACUCCUAGGAACUUCCCAAGGACUAAGAAGCAGCAGGACUCAACAAUUUUUUUCAGGUGGUUCAACUUAUUUCAACUGACUGGAAUGGUGUUAUCCUACAACUUCAGUAGCUGCAAUCACUACCAAAUGGCCAGUGACUAUGAAAAUAUAAUAUAUAAUGAGAAACUGGAAUCUUUGUAUAAUUCAGAAAUGCCAUCAUCUGAAGAUAGUAAUUUGUUCUGUGAAACCAAGGUGAGUAGGUUUACUGUUGAAGGAUGGGAGAAGUGAGGGGAAGGGAAAGCCCAUCCAGCCAGUUCGAAGCUGAGCUGUUGAACUCAGGGAGACAAUGGCUAGAGAUAUUUCUUUAGUAUGGACUGAGUGCCUUUGGCCUGGAUUGAUCACAUUUUGGGAUAGCAGACAAGGUCCUCAACUGGGUUGGGGUGAAAGGAAAUGGGGAACGGAUAUGGAUGGAGUGGGGGUGUAGGGUAGAGAGUUGGGAGUGAGGAAGAGGAAUGAAGGAAUCCAAAUUACUACCUAGAAUUCAGGGGUGGGACUGGGAGAGGGGUCUAGGUCGCCACCUAUGGGUUUCACUCUGACUGAACCUUGGGUCUGAGAUUUCAGUAGUGCCAGCGAAUAAAGGAAUUUUGGAAGAGC